Leptidea sinapis is the source of this 1197-nucleotide long non-coding RNA. RefSeq lists it as uncharacterized. The transcript has 2 exons. The record is from RefSeq and is a predicted model, not a curated record. NCBI's taxonomy places the organism in Eukaryota, Metazoa, Arthropoda, Insecta, Lepidoptera, Pieridae.
GUCGGCGGAAAGAGCUCGUUAGAAAUGCCGAAGAUACAUUUUCCUAAAGGGCCAGCAAAGUUCUUAUGAUUCCUCUGGUGUUGCAAGUGUGGGAUGUGUGUCAUGUUUUUCCAGCAGUGGUAUUAACGUUAUUUCGAAAUCGUUGACAUUAAAUUCUGAACCUGCGAUUCUAUAAUUACUUAAGAGUGGGUGGGGGGCAGGAGAUUCAUAAACAGGUUCUACCUAGUUUGAGCUCCUGUCUGUAGUUUAACAUUUUAAGAAUAAUAUUUGCAUAUAACUAUAUGUCACUGCUUGUGGUGGCGACACAGGACGGGUCGCCCCCUUUCCCCUAAAUAUGGUUGAGAGAGGCGAUGGCUGGCUCAUGCGUCAUGCUCGUAAACGGGCGUUGCUUGUGGUGGCAGGAUGAUGCUGUUGGCGGAGGCUCGGCUUGAGAUUCUUAAAAGUUAUUAUAUAUUUUUUUUAUAUAAUCGCUUAUAAAAUGCUCACAGAAUACCUUUAUUUAUUAACAGUGUGUAUUGAUGAUACAGCUACUGUACUCGACAACUUUUGUUUUGUAUUAAUUUAUAUUUACUUUUAUGAUUUACUCUUGUAAGGCAUUAACUAUUUAACGCAUUAGAUUCAAUAAAAAAAAUUUUUUGUCAUUCAUAAGUGUCAUUUCCGUGACCUACAUGAAUAAAGUGAUUUUGAUUUGAUUUGAUUUGACAUACUACAUAUUAGAACAAAUAAAUGUUUUUGUAUUUAUUUAUUUUGUAUUUGUCCUAUUUACGUUUUGUUCUAGAUUCGUGUUCUUCCAUCAUUUGCCUUGAACGUUAACAGAAUCGGAGUCGCGGAUUAGCGACAUUUGAACGACAAGCUCGCACAAAGAUGCAGGGAGAUUCCAACAAUUCGUUCUUGUUACGAGAAUACGCAACAUACGAUUUCCCUAAAUCUGAAUAUAGCUUCGUCUCACUUCUUCACAAUCAGAACUGAACCGUUAAUUUGUGUUAAAAGAAUACGAAAAUUAACUUUCUGACAUAAGGUUGUUUAGAUCCAAUUCUCGUCUUGUUACGAGUCUGUUAUCUGUAUACGACCACCAUCACAGUGACAAUUUGAUUCCAGUCGAUUGCGAUACGACCCCGACCACGUCGCCCUAAGCCAUUCACCCUGAGACUGUGUAAUUAAUAAUGUCAGAUUUAAAAUAAAAUGAUUCAAUUCCAA